GCGGGUGUAGCUCAAUGGUAGAGCAGAGGCCUUCCAAGCCCCCGACGAGGGUUCGAUUCCCUUCACCCGCUCCA
Molecule: transfer RNA, 74 nt
Filed under: Sutterella wadsworthensis
Lineage: Bacteria; Pseudomonadati; Pseudomonadota; Betaproteobacteria; Burkholderiales; Sutterellaceae
Also listed under: 7 other names
Description: tRNA-Gly
Rfam family: tRNA
About the family: Transfer RNA (tRNA) molecules are approximately 80 nucleotides in length. Their secondary structure includes four short double-helical elements and three loops (D, anti-codon, and T loops).
Source: RNAcentral